RNAcentral lists this unclassified non-coding RNA (350 nucleotides) under soil metagenome. RNAcentral's name for it is "partial contains 5.8S ribosomal RNA, internal transcribed spacer 2, and large subunit ribosomal RNA". The stretch from base 1 to 120 matches the Rfam family "5.8S ribosomal RNA", at positions 35 to 154 of the family's 154-position model. The record is from RNAcentral.
GAUGAAGAACGCAGCGAAAUGCGAUAAGUAAUGUGAAUUGCAGAAUUCAGCGAAUCAUCGAAUCUUUGAACGCACAUUGCGCCCCCCGGCAUUCCGGGGGGCAUGCCUGUCCGAGCGUCAUUGCACCCCUCGAGCCCGCGCGGGUUUCGGUGUUGGGCCGCCGUCCCCCGGGGGGGGGGACGGGCCCGAAAGGCAGUGACGGCCCCGGGGCGACUUCCCGCGCGAUCGCAGCACCUCGCGGCCGAAGCGUUCGCCCCGCGGGCCCGCCUGGACCACCAGUGUGACGUACCGGUUGACCUCGGAUCAGGCAGGGAUACCCGCUGAACUUAAGCAUAUCAAUAAGCGGAGGA